AUUGCAAUGAUGAUCUUCUAAUGUGUAAGAAGAUCCUUUCAACUGUUUGGGCCCUCAAUAAAAUAUACUUGUUGUUAUGCUUGGCUUUGAAGCUUU
Small nucleolar RNA from Phoenix dactylifera (date palm), 96 nucleotides. RefSeq annotates it as small nucleolar RNA R24. The record is from RefSeq and is a predicted model, not a curated record. Lineage: Eukaryota; Viridiplantae; Streptophyta; Magnoliopsida; Arecales; Arecaceae.